CUCUCUAUCUCUCUCUCUAUCUCUCUCCCUCUCCCCCCCCCCAUACCUUACAGAAGUGCUGUAAGCCAGUGCUGGUGUUGUUGAAGUUCUGUUCUACCCAUACACCCUGUUCAGUUCUCACCACCCUACGUCCUUCCAGUCAAACCUUUCUGUUGGCACGGUGAUAGGACAGUUCCAGACACCGUCUCUUCUCCCCCCGUCCUCCAGCCUGCGUUGUGUUAGAAGUAGCUGGGGGAGCAGUCUUUAAGAGGCAGAUAUAAACAGGCAUUAAAAGGCAGCAUGGUCUUAAUUAGGCGAAGCUGUGCACGUGGUAUGUGUGUGUGUGUGUGUGUGUUUCAUGUUGAUGCCUCUAGUGUGUCUAAUUGUUUGUGUAUGCGUGUGUGUGCAGCAUGAGGCCAGUGUGCUAAUCACCUAGCUUGCGUUUUAUAGCUCAACACAAUCAUUUAACGAUGCUGGAAUGAGACAUGCUCAGUACGCUCCCUUCAGAGCAGAGGGGUCGAGGCGCCUCCUCCAAUCAUUUCCAGGCUCGUUUCUUGUCCCUGUCGCCGUGGUCAUCUGCAUAAUGUCCCCUAAUAUUUCCCUACGGUAACAUGCCCUAGGUUGUGCAUUCAGUUUGUAUAUCACAGGAUCACGGAACAAGUUGGAGGUGAGAAAUAAGCCAAACAGCCAGGGAAAUAGAUUAUAUUUUCCAAACACAAAGAGACAGGCCACAGAUUGGUUUCAGGGCCUUUCCAGAAGGUUCCGUUGAAUGUGUAGCUUGGCUUUGGUCUUGUUCAGUUGUUUUUGUUCUGGCUUUGACAGGCAACAGAAAACACAUGAGCUGGCAGGCUGUGCAAGGCAGGACCUACUGUAAGGCAGUUUGGACCAGCGUCAGAUGAGCCCGGUUCCUAUUAACACGCACCCGGACUUGACCCGCUGAAGUGGGACGGCAGCAUUUUCAAGGUACACACCCUGUGUACAUACGCGCUAGAGUAACCUGACUCCAGCAAACAUGGCCGUGCCUGUACAGAAGAGAUCCUAUCGGCCCCUGCUGCCAGUGUUGUUCAAUCCUAAGAGGAGGAACAUCAAGCUGCUGGAAGACAGUGUGGUUUUACAAUGGCCUGUUCCUCAUAUCAGCCAAGGAAUCCAGAUUCCGGGAAUAAGACGUGCUCUCCUGUUUCUCAUGGAUUCUUGCGGAAAGACCAGAACAGACACCAGAGGCUGACCUGCGAGAGACUAAGAGCAAAGACCAGAGGCUGACCUGCGACAGACUAAGAGCAGAGACCAGAGGCUGACCUGCGACAGACCAAGAGGAGUCAACAGGAGUGUGAUGGCCUGGCCUGGAACGUACCAUUUAGGAGCUGCACCAGUGGUGUGAUGGACAGAUCUUGACUGUACCAUGUUGGAGCUGCACCAGGGUUGUGAUGACCUGACCCGGACUGUACCAUGUUGGAGCUGCACCAGGGUUGUGAUGGCCAGAUCUUGACUGUACCAUGUUGGAGCUGCACCAGGGUUGUGAUGGCCAGAUCUUGACUGUACCAUGUUGGAGCUGCACCAGGGUUGUGAUGACCUGACCUGGGCUGUACCAUGUUGGAGCUGCACCAGGGUUGUGAUGACCUGACCUGGGCUGUACCAUGGACCCUACUAUUGAGGAGUAAUAACAGGUGGGGGCCAGGAGAGGUCCAGUCUGGUAUGGCUACUGUCAGAAGCUACCUUGUUAGAAAAAUCACAGCUAGGAUCCAUGCCUGCUGGACUCACUGACAGGAUUUGUCCUGAACACCAUAGGACAGUCCCAUGGCUGUUUUGGAACGAUCCACUCCACCAUUUCUGGAAAGGUAACUUUUUUGAAUUAAGCCCCUUUUUGGAGAGCUCCAGUAUUAAUGGAACGGCCUUUUCUACUGCUGUACCUGACACUUUCCAUGAGAGACUCAGUUUUUUUUUUCUCCAGGGAGACUAUCUUUUGGGAGUAAAGGAUCGUUCAUUUCACAAUAUCUUUGUUUUAAAAACACUGACACAAUGCUUAUUCUGUUGUUAAACAUUUGCAAUUGUUUGAGGACACCACUCUGCCAAUCUUCCAACAAGUAAACAUUAAAAAAAUUCAGAAACAUUA
Molecule: long non-coding RNA, 2089 nt
Organism: Hypomesus transpacificus
Lineage: Eukaryota; Metazoa; Chordata; Actinopteri; Osmeriformes; Osmeridae
Exons: 5
Source: RefSeq, a predicted model, not a curated record